RNAcentral lists this long non-coding RNA (1330 nucleotides) under Cyanistes caeruleus (blue tit). Its description in RNAcentral is "lncRNA (ENSCCEG00000022744.1)". The record is from RNAcentral. Lineage: Eukaryota; Metazoa; Chordata; Aves; Passeriformes; Paridae.
AGACUUGCUGCUUCAAUGACUGCUAAAAUGUAGCGUCACCUACCUGGGUAAGUGGGAAAUAAACUUUAAUGGUAAAGCUCUCCGGCUCAACUUUGCUUAUUCUGACGUCCCUAGUUCGUGUCUCCUUUUGACUUUGAGCCAUUUAAUCGCCUAUGGCUUUUGUGUGCUCCCGCCCUACCCUUGGUGCUGCCUGGCUCCUUACCUGUCCUUUCUGCUCGGAGCCCGGAGGGAAAAGAGGGAGACUCAGGGGGCAGGCGAGCGUGGGGCAGGCAGCGGGGAGGGCAGGAGCGUGUUGGGGUGUGUGUGUGUGUACAUGUGUGUGUGUGUGCGGGUACAUGUGUGUGAAGGUACAUGUGUGUGCGGGUACAUGUGUGUGCGGGUACAUGUGUGUGUGUGUACAUGUGUGUGUGUGUGUGUACAUGUGUGUGUGUGCGGGUACAUGUGUGUGCGUGCGUGCGCGCAGCCAGGGGAAGGCAGGAAUCCAGCUGCUCCUUCUCCCUCUGUGAGCACAUGCGGGAAAACAAGUUGUUGCGCGUUCUGUAUGUGUUUGUGUGUGCAUUCCUCGUUAUAUGUGGAUCUUUUGAAUAAAAAAGCAUGCAGACGAAUGUAAUGAAAUGUCUCUCUCAUGGAGAUGAUGUAUUUGAGCGGAAAGCUGCCGGAUAUGUUGAGGUGGUUCAAAGCAGCGGUCACAGCGUGUCUUUGUCAUUUGGGGCGGUGAGUGAUUGUAGGAGGGAGGGAAGGUUGCCACCUCUUUCCUUGAGGAGUCCAGAGGCACAGAGGGGCAGAGCCGCGCCGCAUGGAGUCGGCGCUAGGGAGGGAGGGACUGCUCCCUUCUCCGGAGGGCUGCAGAGCUGCUCCUCCGGCGCCUCCUCCGGCCCUGGCACCGGCCCCGGCCGCUCUCCCUGCCUCGCCAGAACACGAAAACCCUCCCCCGCCGAUGCCGGAGACACUCGUCUUUCUAUCUGCAGCAUCAGCGAGAAAGCCCAGCUCGGCGCAGGCUCAGUGCUCACCGCCGCAGUCCCGGACGGAGGAGGGGGGUUCGGGAGCGCAGCAUCUUCGCAGCGGGUUAAGUAGGAUUAGUACCAAAUCCCUAUUAUAUUUGCCAAGCAACUUGAAUUUAUCAAAAUUCCCCCUCGCUGUUCUGGAGCUCCGUGAGGAGGAAAUUUUGCUCACAGUUGUCUUCACAUGCAAUCUCUCUCUGAAUGUGCAAUGUCUUUCCUGCUCGGGAGUGCUGCGUCCUUCACAGUGGAUUGGUUCCUCUUUCGGAGCAGAGGAGAGCAUAAAAGAUCUGGCAUGUCUUCAUGAUUGUACUGUGUCAGCUGCCUGUUGA